UUCUUAUGCAGGUAAAACAAACAAACAAAC
Molecule: non-coding RNA, 30 nt
Filed under: Rattus norvegicus (Norway rat)
Lineage: Eukaryota; Metazoa; Chordata; Mammalia; Rodentia; Muridae
Source: RNAcentral